RNAcentral lists this ribosomal RNA (497 nucleotides) under uncultured bacterium. Its description in RNAcentral is "partial 16S ribosomal RNA". It matches the Rfam family "Bacterial small subunit ribosomal RNA", at positions 28 to 507 of the family's 1533-position model. The record is from RNAcentral.
GAUGAACGCUGGCGGCGUGCCUAAUACAUGCAAGUCGAGCGAACGGACGAGAAGCUUGCUUCUCUGAUGUUAGCGGCGGACGGGUGAGUAACACGUGGAUAACCUACCUAUAAGACUGGGAUAACUUCGGGAAACCGGAGCUAAUACCGGAUGAUAUUUUGAACCGCAUGGUUCAAAAGUGAAAGACGGUCUUGCUGUCACUUAUAGAUGGAUCCGCGCUGCAUUAGCUAGUUGGUAAGGUAACGGCUUACCAAGGCAACGAUGCAUAGCCGACCUGAGAGGGUGAUCGGCCACACUGGAACUGAGCCACGGUCCAGACUCCUACGGGAGGCAGCAGUAGGGAAUCUUCCGCAAUGGGCGAAAGCCUGACGGAGCAACGCCGCGUGAGUGAUGAAGGUCUUCGGAUCGUAAAACUCUGUUAUUAGGGAAGAACAUAUGUGUAAGUAACUGUGCACAUCUUGACGGUACCUAAUCAGAAAGCCACGGCUAACUACGUG